RNAcentral lists this ribosomal RNA (253 nucleotides) under uncultured bacterium. RNAcentral describes it as "partial 16S ribosomal RNA". It matches the Rfam family "Bacterial small subunit ribosomal RNA", at positions 524 to 776 of the family's 1533-position model. The record is from RNAcentral.
UACGUAGGGUGCGAGCGUUAAUCGGAAUUACUGGGCGUAAAGCGUGCGCAGGCGGUUGUGCAAGACCGAUGUGAAAUCCCCGGGCUUAACCUGGGAAUGGCAUUGGUGACUGCACGGCUAGAGUGUGUCAGAGGGGGGUAGAAUUCCACGUGUAGCAGUGAAAUGCGUAGAGAUGUGGAGGAAUACCGAUGGCGAAGGCAGCCCCCUGGGAUAACACUGACGCUCAUGCACGAAAGCGUGGGGAGCAAACAGG